Molecule: ribosomal RNA, 415 nt
Filed under: uncultured crenarchaeote
Lineage: Archaea; Thermoproteati; Thermoproteota
Description: partial 16S ribosomal RNA
Rfam family: Archaeal small subunit ribosomal RNA
Source: RNAcentral
GUGCAGCAGUCGCGAAAACUCCGCAAUACGCGAAAGCGUGACGGGGCCAUCCCGAGUGCCGUCCGCUGAGGAUGACUUUUCCACGCUGUAAGGAGGCGUGGGAAUAAGGAGAGGGCAAGUCUGGUGUCAGCCGCCGCGGUAAUACCAGCUCUCCGAGUGGUAGGGACGAUUAUUGGGCUUAAAGCGUCCGUAGCCGGCUCAGCAAGUCUCCCGUUAAAUCCAACGAUUCAAUCGUUGGACUGCGGGAGAUACUGUUGAGCUAGGAGGCGGGAGAGGCCGACGGUAUUCCCGGAGUAGGGGUGAAAUCCUAUAAUCCCGGGAGGACCACCAGUGGCGAAGGCGGCCGGCAAAAGCGCGCCCGACGGUGAGGGACGAAAGCUGGGGGAGCGAACGGGAUUAGAUACCCCGGGAGUCC